Molecule: ribosomal RNA, 378 nt
Filed under: uncultured bacterium
Lineage: Bacteria
Description: bacterial SSU rRNA
Rfam family: Bacterial small subunit ribosomal RNA
Source: RNAcentral
AGCGAACGUUUGCGGCGGGCCUAACACAUGCAAGUCGAACGCACUAGCAAUAGUGAGUGGCGCACGGGUGCGUAACACGUGGGUAAUCAACCCUUCAGCCUGGGAUAACGACUCGAAAGGGUCGCUAAUACCGGAUACGGCGCGAGAGGCUUCGGCUUCUCACGAGAAAGCCACGCAAGGGGCACUGAAGGACGAGCCUGCGGCCCAUCAGCUAGUUGGUGAGGUAAGAGCUCACCAAGGCUAAGACGGGUAGCUGGUCUGAGAGGAUGAUCAGCCACACUGGAACUGAGACACGGUCCAGACUCCUACGGGAGGCAGCAGUGGGGAAUAUUGCGCAAUGGCGAAAGCCUGACGCAGCACGCGCGUGAGCGAUGAAGG